CAAUGGGUUGGAAAGAGCUCAUAAGAAGACAAAAGUUCCUUCAUACUUUGUUGAACAUUGUUACUAUAAUUUUUCUGGCCUUUCUCUCCUUACACAUUUGAAUUAGAAGGAAAGCUCACUGAAGCCACGAUAGUUAAGCUCUCUUUUUCUUGCAAUAACCUAAUCAUCUCUGGUACCCAUGCUGUCUUACCUUUGGACUCCUUUGUUGUCUAACAGACAAUAAGUCCCACUCAUGUGAGGCAGAUUGGGUUGAGUUGUCUAUUAACCAAGCCAUCAAGAUUAUCCUGCUACAUAGUGUGAUAGUCCCAUUCCUGCUGAGCUAUAAGCCAAUGUAUUGUUCUGAAACUUCACUGUAGUGUACCAACGGCCACCCAGGAGAAAUAUGGCAUGGAGAUGGAGAGGCUGGGGAUGGUUGCUCUAUGGUAGAGCACUUGUCUGCCACACAAAAGACCCUUGGUUAGAUCCCCAGAACCACCACAAGAAAAACAAAUCAUCACAGAAAAAAAAAAUCUGGAUCUUAUGGUAAUCACCAUCACAGAAAAUGUACCUGGGCAUUAAUGUUAAGUGACUCUGAAACUCCCUUAAAUUCAGUUGUCUUCAAGGAACAGGUUGGUGAGAAUAAAGAUGAAAUCCACCCAUAAAGAAAGAAGCUGAAAUCAGAUAUAAAAAUAUUCUAAAAAGAGUUUAUCCUUUCUGCUUUGAUAGUGCUCCAGAAAAGAAAUCUACAAAGCAGACCUCCAGCUCUCUUUAGGGUGGACUGCAAACAAACCUAUGAAAUGGCUUAGAGUCAAGGAGCACUAUUUAUCUGCCCCUAGCCAUUACUAAAUUACUGUGCAUCACAGUAAUUUGGAAGAGGUUACAAAAUAAUCUAUGGAAGCCAAGAUCUGCCAAUCAGAGGUUCUGCUUUGGCUAGUCAUCUGGAUCUGGAAGAGCAAGUGAGAAGAGUUCAAAAAAGAUUCACUGA
Molecule: long non-coding RNA, 964 nt
Organism: Perognathus longimembris pacificus (Pacific pocket mouse)
Lineage: Eukaryota; Metazoa; Chordata; Mammalia; Rodentia; Heteromyidae
Exons: 3
Source: RefSeq, a predicted model, not a curated record